UUUGUUGUUGUUUUUUUGCCUUCCUGUAGGUUAAACAUUUUAAAAAAAAAAUUCAUUUUGAUUUACUUAUGGUGUUUUUAGAGAGGUACACACUUUAAGUAUGUAGUUUUUGUAGUAGUCGCUGUGGAUAUUACAAUAUAUCUCAUUCUACUGAUAUAUGACUUUGAAGUAUGGAAAUAUUACUCCCAUUUAAGUCCUUUUAUUUUUUACACUUUUAAAUAUAAUUGCUUUGAAUAUCAAGUGCUGUUAUAAUUUUUGUUUCAAGUAUCAAGUAUGACAUAUAAAACUCAAAUGGGGAUUGUCUAUUAAAAACUUCCUUUAGCAAGUCUUUAUAACUAUGUCUACUAGUGACACAUUCCUCAAGAGUGGUAUCCCUAACUGCCAUUAGGGGGUGUUAAACGACGACUCUUUCUGGCUACUUCCCGCUGAAAAGAAGUGUUGUGCUGGGAACAGCACUUAGGGCUCCUCCUGGGGUCGAUCUAUGGGUCCUCAGAAGAAAGGUGUGUCCGUAGGUGGUUCUGUCUGCAGCACCAUUUGGAGUUUGCUUCUAGAUGAAAAGAGAUAAAUUUUACAAGAAAGUUUAGAAUAUAGGGUUUGAAUAUAAGUAUUAAGAUUACCAUUAUUAGUGGGGGUACUAUAGGCCAUAACCAUAACAGUAGAGUUUGAUACCUGUUAGCUAUUCUAAUGGAUUGUAAUACUUGUUUGCCUCCACCAAAUGUUGCUGUACUUUACCAGAAACGUUAAGAUAAAAAUAACAUUCUUUAGCCAGACACAGUGGCUCAUGCCUGUAAUCCCAGCAUUUUGGGAGGCCAAGGCAGGCAGACCACCUGAGGUCAGGAGUUCAAGACCAGCCUGGCCAACAUGGUGAAACCCCGUUUCUACAAAAAUACAAAAAUCAGCCAAGCAUGAUGGUGGGUGCCUGUAAUCCCAGCUACUCAGGAGGCUGAGGCAGGAGAAUUGCUUGAAUCGGGGAGUGAGCCAAGAUUGAGCCAUUGCACUCCAGCCUGAGCAACAGAGUGAGACUCCAUCUCAAAAAAAAAAAAAAAAAAAACAUUCUUUUUAGGAUAAAUGGCAUUAAAUUUGGGUGGCUAAAGUAACUUUAGUGUUAACCUUGGCUAAAUUUUUCCAGCAAUUAUCAAUCCUUUCACAAUUUCCACAGACCAUUUAUGACAUGCUUAAACUUUCUUAGUAGUCCUAAACACCCCUUUUUUAAACAACCAGUUAUUUCCUUUUAGGACAAGAAUUUACCAUCCAAGAUCCUUUCUUAUAUAAAAUCUUUUUUUUUUUUUUUUUGAGAUGGAGUCUCGCUCUGUCACCCAGGCUGGGGUGCAGUGGCACAAUCUCGGGUAACUGCAAACUCAGUCUCCCAGGUUCAAGCAAUUCUCUGCCUCAGCCUCUCAAGCAGCUGGGAUUACAGGUGCCCACCACCACACCCAGAAAUUUAUGAAAAAAAUUUGUAUUUUUCAUAAAGAGAUGGGGUUUCACUAUCUUGCCCAGCACUUUGGAAGGCCAAGGUGGAUAGAUCACCUGAGGUCAGGAGUUCAAGGCCAGUUUGACCAACAUGGAGAAACCACAUCUCUACUAAAAAUACAAAAUUAGCUGGGCAUGGUGGCAUAUGCCUGUAAUCCCAGCUACUCGGGACCAUCUUGGUCAGGCUGGUCUUGAACUCCUGACCUUGUGAUCCAGCCACCUUGGCCUCCCAAAGUGCUGAAAUUACAGGCGUGAGCCACUGCACCCAGCCAAAAUAUCCUUCCUUUAUGACCUUAAUUGAAUAGCUAGGGUGUGACAUAUUACCAAACCCAAUAAGAAGUCCUAGCUAACUUAGUGAUAGUAAAAUUUUCAUGUUUACUUCCUGUCAGUAACUAUUAUCCCUGCUAUAAGGAUAAUAAUUCCACAAAAUAUUACAGUAGUUGAGGCUCUUUAUCCAAUAUUCCACUCUGGGGUUGCUACAAUAUAUAAUCCUUCUGUAAAUAGUAGAGUGAGUAUAUAAUUCUGCAAGGGUGGUGUAGUAGAUAAUUUCCAUCAAAAAGUUUUACUUGCCAAGACAUAGAAUUUCUCUUUGGGGGUCUAUGAAGUUAUAAAUGUAAUCCCAAGGAUAACUAAAAUCUUUCUGCAAAAAUGCAUUAAAAAGAAGUUCUAAUAUCUGGUGGCAAAUCUAAAGAGAAACAUAAAAAUGACAAAGUAUUUGCUGAGGUAAAGGUGGGACUGAGUAAGAUGAGUAGCUCUCACUUAUCUUUUAUGAUUUGUAGCUUCAGAUAUCUUAUUUCUUCACAUUGAUAUUCAGGAUGUUCCUCUGGGCUGUCAGGGGUUGCUCCCACAGCUUUCCAGGCUUUGACUCCAGUGUGAUAAAUCCAGUAGUUGACACCUGUAACUUUUACCACUGAGGGGGCUGAAAGAAAAACAGUGUGGGGCCCUUCCCAGCUUGGGCUCAGGACAAAGAGAGAGAAGGGAGAGCCUUCACCAAUUCCAAAUCUCCAGAGUUUGGAGCUGGGAGUUAAAGGCCAGCUUGACCAACAUGGAGAAACCCCAUCUCUACUAAAAAUACAAAAUUAGCUGGGCAUGGUGGCACAUGCCUGUAAUCCCAGCUACUCGGGGGGCUGAAGAAGAAUCGCUUGAACCUGGGAGGCAGAAGUUGCGGUGAGCCGAGAUCGCACCAUUGCACUCCAGCCUGGGCAACAAGAGUGAAACUACGUCUUAAAAAAAACAAAAACAAAACAGAAAAACAGCUUUAUUACCUCGGAGGCCUUUUCUGUAUGGGGUGGAAAGGUUUCUAUGCAGUUAGUGAAAGUAUCUAUCCAUGCCAGGUGGUGUUGAAUGCCCUUCACCUUUGGCAUGUGGGUGAAGUCUAUCUGCCAGACCUCCCCUGGAAAGCUUCCCAUCCUUUGGGUUUGAGGAGAAAGCUGCUGCCUUCACAAGCAUUAACAACCUGUUUGACUGUUCUUAAUAAAUUCUUUCUUGAAAAUUUUUGGGCACACUGGUAAGUUUUACUCUUUCCUAAAUCAAAUGCCUGGUGGAUUUAAAAACUUUCCAUUGGCUGGAGGCUGGCAAGUGGAGUUUGCCAUCUUCUGACUGUAGCUGUUCUGAGGGCUGGAAAGUAUAUCCUCAAGAAGUGAUGCAUCCUAUUUCUGCAGGGGAGUACUGAGGUUUAAUUUCUCUUAUGGAGCCUUUCCAAAUUAGGGGGGCUUGAAGUAUGUUGAUGCGCUGAGGCUUCCUUGCCACUGACUUAGCUGCCUGAUCAGCAAACGUAUUUUCUUUGUCUGCUUUAUCGGUUGUCUUUGAUGUCCCUUUCAAUGCAUUCCUGCUAUUUCUCAUGGAAGGAAAAGUUGAGGAUAAUAACCAGUAAUUUUGGGAGAUGCAUUAGCUGUAAGAAAAAAUGGCUUUCUUUCCAAAUGACAGCAUGAGCAUGGAGAACUAAGAAAGCAUACUUCAAAUUACUGUAAAUGCUAGCUACCUUUCAAUUGCUUAAUUCAAGCACUCUUGUAAGAGCUAUCAGUGCAGCUAAUUGAGUGCUUGUGCCUGGAGAGAGAGAGACUUUCAAUGAUGUCACUUAGAGUGACUACUGCAUAUCAUGCUUUAUGGAUCCCUUGCUCUACAAAGUAGCUCCCAUCUUUGAAGAGGGUCCAAUCUGGAUUUUCUAGGGGAGUUUCCCUGAGAUCUUCCCUGGCUGCAUAGGUCUGUAUUAUAACUUGUUCAGAGUCAUGUUCAGUUUCCCCAAGGAAAGUGGCUGGGUUUAGAUGAGAACAAGUUUUUAACUGGAUUGUGGAAUCCUCUAACAGCAGAGCCUAAUAUUUAAGGAGCCAACUGUCUGUUAGCCAAAGGCUCCCCGCUAGAAGACAGUAAUCCUGCCACAUCAUAUGGGGUGUAAACAGUUAAGUCAUUUCCCAGGUUAAUUUGGUGGCUUUUAGGACCAGUAGGACCACCGUGGCAAUGGCUUGGAGGCAUUUGCAAAUAAUAGGUCCCCCCAAGUGCAACUAAGGGGUUGAGAAAAAUAUUAGAGUUUUUCCUGAGAUGUCCCACAUGGUGGUGCCACAAGAAGAGGGGAGGCCUGGAUUAGAGAGAGGAGAGAGAGGCUGACUCCAUUGUUUAGAAGGAGGUCUACCUGGCUGGAUGCAGCAGCUCACGCCUGUAAUCCUAGUACUUUGGGUGGCCAAGGUUGGCGGAUCACAAGGUCAGGAGAUUGAGACCAUCCUGGCUAACACAGUGAAACCCUGUCUCUACUAAAAAUACAAAAAAAAUUAGCUAGACGUGGUGGUGGGCACCUGUAGUCCCACCUACUCUGGCGGCUGAAGGGGGGAGAAUGGUGUGAAUCCAGGAGGCAGAGCUUGCAGUGAGCCGAGAUCGCGCCACUCCACUCCAGCCUGGGCGACAGAGCGAGACUGUCAGAAAAAAAAAAAGGAGGUCUACCUUUCUUCCUCCAAUUUCCAGAAUCACCUGGGGCUCCUAAUGGCAGUUUGAGCCACUACAGCCAGGGGUUUGAGCUCCAGAACCCAUCAGUCCUGUUGGACCAUGUGUGAGACUGGUUCUGAACUCGGUGACCUCCAUCUCCGGGGGCAGUCUGAUCUGUAGUGGUCUUUGCCACAGGCUGGACAGGGUUGAGGUGACUUUUCCUUGCUGCCUGGGUACUCCUUCUUAAAGUGUCCUGACUUUCCACAUCGAUAGCCACUAGCAGACGCACCAUGGGGAUCCUGAACUUUGUAAGCCUGCAAAGCGGCUACUAGAGCCUCUGUCGUUUUCUUGUGCUUCCUCUCUUUCUGCUCGACCUCCUCCUGAUCCCUAUUAUAAAAGACCGAAGUGUUCACCCUCAGGAGGUUUUCCAAGGUGCUAUCUGCUCCUAUAGCCUCCUUAUGCAGCUUCCUUCUAAUAUCAGGAUCUGCCUGUGUAAUAAACUUGUCCUUUAGGAUGAGCUGUCCUUCUACUGAAUCAAGGGAUAAGGAGGUGUGUUUUAUUAGUGGCUCUCUCAGCCUUUCCAUAAAGGCUGUGUGAUUCUCAUCUGGUUUUUGGUCUAUCAUGGACAGCUUAAAGUAAUUAAGAGAUUUGGUCCUAGUUCUUUGUAAGCCCUCUAAUAUGCACAUUAAAAAGAGUUUCUCUUUCCAUUCGUUUGUGGAGCUAUCGGAGUUCCAAUCAGGAUUGUCAAGAGGAACUAUUUCCCUUCCUGUUGGGAAUGGCGUUUCCAUUAUUUCUUUGUGUUCUGUAUUAGUCUGUUGUCACACUGCUGAUAAAGACAUACCCAAGACUGGGAAGAAAAAGAGGCUUAAUUGGACUUACAGUUCCACAUUGCUGGAAAGGCCUCAGAAUCAUGGCAGGAAGCAAAAGGCCCUUCUUACAUGGUGGCAAAAGAAAUGAGGAAGAUGCAAAAGAGAAACCCCUGAUAAAAUCACCAGAUCUCGUGAGACUUAUUCACUACCACUAGAACAGUAUGGGGGAAACCGCUCCCAUGAUUCAAAUUAUCUCCCACUGGGUCCCUCCCACAACUUUAUGGGAAUUAUCGGAGUAUAAUUCAACAUGAGAUUUGGGUGGAGACACAGAGCCAAACCAUAUUCUGUCCCUGGUCCCUCCAAAUCUCAUGUCCUCACAUUUCAAAACCAAUCACACCUUCCCAACCGUCCCCCAAAGUCUUAACUCAUUUAAGCAUUACCUCAAAAGUCCACAGUCCAAAGUCUUAUCUGAGACAUGGCAAGUCCCUUCUGCCUAUGAGCCUGUAAAAUCAAAAGCAAGCUAGUUACCUCUUGGAUACAAUGGAAGUACAGGUAUUGGGUAAAUACAGCCAUUCCACAUGGGAGAAAUUGGCCAAAACAAAGGGGUUACAG
Molecule: long non-coding RNA, 5807 nt
Filed under: Homo sapiens (human)
Lineage: Eukaryota; Metazoa; Chordata; Mammalia; Primates; Hominidae
Description: HSALNT0346608
Source: RNAcentral